Molecule: long non-coding RNA, 350 nt
Filed under: Oryza brachyantha (malo sina)
Lineage: Eukaryota; Viridiplantae; Streptophyta; Magnoliopsida; Poales; Poaceae
Description: long non-coding RNA (OBRA_LNC002374)
Source: RNAcentral
AAGGCACCAAACUUACUAACUGUCAGAGAUUUUCAUUUUUAAUCAUUGCUCCCUAAGUAGCUCAGUUCCAACUUUAUGGAGUACUAAUGAACUUCAUGGAUGCCUAGCUAAUUUGUCUAAAGAAACAGUGAGAUGCAGCACAUCAAUUUAUGCAUCACUGAUGAGAUGAACAAGGAGAAGCAAUUGAUUGAAUAAUAAUUAGAGCUAGCUAAGCUGAAUGAUGAAGCGGAGCAAGGCGGCCAUGGAUGCCUAAAGCAAGCAAGCGAGCGAGCGAGCGGCCGUCAAGGCGAGCGAGCUGGCCGUUUGAUCACCUCGGGUGGCCGUGGAAGAAGGGUGCGCCGCCGCCGAAC